RNAcentral lists this non-coding RNA (30 nucleotides) under Rattus norvegicus (Norway rat). The record is from RNAcentral. Lineage: Eukaryota; Metazoa; Chordata; Mammalia; Rodentia; Muridae.
UGACAUUUAUUGAGUAUCUACUGUGCUUGU